Molecule: ribosomal RNA, 497 nt
Filed under: uncultured bacterium
Lineage: Bacteria
Description: partial 16S ribosomal RNA
Rfam family: Bacterial small subunit ribosomal RNA
Source: RNAcentral
GAUGAACGCUGGCGGCGUGCCUAAUACAUGCAAGUCGAGCGAACAGACGAGGAGCUUGCUCCUCUGACGUUAGCGGCGCACGGGUGAGUAACACGUGGAUAACCUACCUAUAAUACUGGGAUAACUUCGGGAAACCAGAGCUAAUACCGGAUAAUAUCUUGAACCGCAUGGUUCAAUAGUGAAAGACGGUUUUGCUGUCACUUAUAGCUGGAUCCGCGCCGCAUUAGAUAGUUGUUAAGGUAACGGCUUACCAAGGCUACGAUGCGUAGCCGACCGGAGAGGGUGGUAGGCCACCUGGGAACGGAGACACGGUCCAGACUCCUACGGGAGGCAGCAGUAGGGAAUCUUCCGCAAAGGGCGAAAGCCUGACGGAGCAACGCCGCGUGAGUGAUGAAGGUCUUCGGAUCGUAAAACUCUGUUAUUAGGGAAGAACAAAUGUGUAAGUAACUAUGCACGUCUUGACGGUACCUAAUCAGAAAGCCACGGCUAACUACGUG